CAAGAUGUGAANUCCCCGAGCUUAACUUGGGAACUGCGUUUCGAACUGGUAAGCUAGAGUAUGUCAGAGGGGGGUAGAAUUCCACGUGUAGCAGUGAAAUGCGUAGAGAUGUGGAGGAAUACCGAUGGCGAAGGCAGCCCCCUGGGAUAAUACUGACGUUCAUGCUCGAAAGCGUGGGUAGCAAACAGGAUUAGAUACCCUGGUAGUCCACGCCCUAAACGAUGUCAAUUAGCUGUUGGGGCACUUGAUGCCUUAGUAGCGAAGCUAACGCGUGAAAUUGACCGCCUGGGGAGUACGGUCGCGAGAUUAAAACUCAAAGGAAUUGACGGGGACCCGCACAAGCGGUGGAUGAUGUGGAUUAAUUCGAUGCAACGCGAAGAACCUUACCUGGUCUUGACAUGUACGGAAUCUUCCAGAGACGGAAGAGUGCCUUCGGGAGCCGUAACACAGGUGCUGCAUGGCUGUCGUCAGCUCGUGUCGUGAGAUGUUGGGUUAAGUCCCGCAACGAGCGCAACCCUUGUCAUUAGUUGCCACCAUUCAGUUGGGCACUCUAAUGAGACUGCCGGUGACAAACCGGAGGAAGGUGGGGAUGACGUCAAGUCCUCAUGGCCCUUAUGACCAGGGCUUCACACGUCAUACAAUGGUCGGUACAGAGGGUAGCCAAGCCGCGAGGUGGAGCCAAUCUCAGAAAACCGAUCGUAGUCCGGAUUGCACUCUGCAACUCGAGUGCAUGAAGUCGGAAUCGCUAGUAAUCGCAGGUCAGCAUACUGCGGUGAAUACGUUCCCGGGUCUUGUACACACCGCCCGUCACACCAUGGGAGUGGGGGAUACCAGAAGUAGGUAGGCUAACCGCAAGGAGGCCGCU
This 865-nucleotide ribosomal RNA is filed under the name uncultured bacterium. RNAcentral's name for it is "bacterial SSU rRNA". It matches the Rfam family "Bacterial small subunit ribosomal RNA", at positions 588 to 1454 of the family's 1533-position model. The record is from RNAcentral.